RNAcentral lists this ribosomal RNA (253 nucleotides) under uncultured bacterium. RNAcentral's name for it is "partial 16S ribosomal RNA". It matches the Rfam family "Bacterial small subunit ribosomal RNA", at positions 524 to 776 of the family's 1533-position model. The record is from RNAcentral.
UACGAAGGAUCCAAGCGUUAUCCGGAUUCAUUGGGUUUAAAGGGUGCGUAGGCGGUCAAAUAAGUCAGUGGUGAAAUCCUAUCGUUUAACGAUAGAAUUGCCAUUGAUACUGUUUGACUAGAGUUCAGAUGAUGUUGGCGGAAUGUGUCAUGUAGCGGUGAAAUGCUUAGAUAUGACACAGAACACCGAUUGCGAAGGCAGCUGACAAAACUGACACUGACGCUGAUGCACGAAAGUGCGGGGAUCAAACAGG